GACUAAUAUGGUGCUUGCCAAGCCUAUUUCUACUCCAAUGUCAGCUUCUACAACUCUUAGUUAUUUUGAAGGAACUCCUCCCUCCAGCUCACUGCCUUCUCAGAUUCCGAUUGGGCUUGCUGCCCGAAUGACAGACGUUCCACCUUAGGAUAUUGUGUUCUUCUAGGCAAAAACAUACUCUGAGUUCCAAGAAACAACCAACGGUAUCUCGAUCAAGCACUGAAUCCGAGUAUAAAGCCAUUGCAAAUGCUUCAGCCGAGUUAAUAUGUGGAUUUAGACUCUCCUUGGUGAACUUCGUGUUACAUCUCCAUGACCACCCAUCUUGCAUUGUGAUAACAUGGGAGCUACAUAUCUCACCUCAAAUCCACUACAUCAUGCCCACACAAAGCAUAUAGAAAUUGAUUAUCACUUUGUAAGAGACAUGGUUGCUUUAAAGGCUCUUGAGGUACGGUUCAUUUCAAGAAAAGAUCAGCUGGCCGACAUUCUCACAAAGCCACUAGCUGCUGCACGAUUCAUCAUGCUCAAGUCCAACCUCAACGUUAGGAUACUUACAUUGAGUUUGAAGGGGCCUAUUAGAUCAAACUACUCAUCAACUCAAGAUAAAGCUAAAGUUGUAGAGUUGGAUCAAGAAGCAUCGUCUUCCAUCGAAUCAGAUAACAAUAGAAAAGUAGAGUUGUAACACCAUGUCUCUAUAAUCUUAUUGAUGUAAAUCACCAUAAGCCUUAUUGAUGUAAAUCACAUAUGGUGAUAAUCUAGAACUGAUAAACUCAAAGGUUAUUGUAUGUACAAGCAUACUGCCAUACGAUUCAGUAGGCAGAUUAGCAAAGAAUUCUAAGAUCUUAUAUA
Alnus glutinosa is the source of this 846-nucleotide long non-coding RNA. RefSeq lists it as uncharacterized. The record is from RefSeq and is a predicted model, not a curated record. The transcript is spliced from 2 exons. Lineage: Eukaryota; Viridiplantae; Streptophyta; Magnoliopsida; Fagales; Betulaceae.